CGGGAGCUGUUGGGGGCUCCUUCCCUCGCAGCAGUGACCACUCCAAGGGCCACGGCCUGGACAUGAGCGGCAGCGGUGAGCUGGGAGCUGCUGGCCUGGAGUCUAGAUGAAUAUAGGCAGCAGCCAAAGGCCACAGUCACGACAAACCUACACACUCUCACCACUGUCAUCUCAUAUUGUCCUAAAAUUUCCAGCCAGUGCAAAAAAACAUGAAAAAGAAAAAAUACAGCCACUGGAAAAGAGGAAAAGUAAUUGUUAUUAGCUGAUGAUGUGAAUGUCUUCCUGAAAACCUUAAGAGAACCAACUGGAAAACAACCAGAAAUGAGAGCAUUGAGUUAGGCAACCGCCGAUCUGCUUUCUGUCACUUUGGGCGAGUUUUGCCUGUCCUGGGAUUUCAUAUCCCUGGAAUCCUGCAGUACGUAGCCCUCUGUCUGGCUUCCUUGCUCCGUGUAAUGUUCCUGAGAUUCAUCCAUGCAGCUGUGUAUACCUGCAGUGAUUGUUUCUCUUAUUGAUUGCUGAGAAGGGUUCCAUCGUAUGCCUUUUCCAGUUUAUUUGUUCAUCUGUUGUUAGACAUUUGAGUUAUUUCCAGCUUGGGACUCUUAUGAACAAAACUGCUAUAAACAUGCAUAUUCAA
This 634-nucleotide long non-coding RNA is filed under the name Pan troglodytes (chimpanzee). RNAcentral describes it as "lincRNA". Lineage: Eukaryota; Metazoa; Chordata; Mammalia; Primates; Hominidae. The record is from RNAcentral.